Molecule: ribosomal RNA, 404 nt
Filed under: uncultured bacterium
Lineage: Bacteria
Description: bacterial SSU rRNA
Rfam family: Bacterial small subunit ribosomal RNA
Source: RNAcentral
GUGUAGAAGGACGUCUACGGGUUGUAAAGCACUUUCGGUAGGGAGGAAGGUAGUGUAGUUAACACCUGCAUUAUUUGACGUUACCUACAGAAGAAGCACCGGCUAACUCCGUGCCAGCAGCCGCGGUAAUACGGAGGGUGCGAGCGUUAAUCGGAAUUACUGGGCGUAAAGCGCAUGCAGGCGGCCUGUUAAGUCAGAUGUGAAAGACCCGGGGCGUUAACCUCGGAAUUGCAUUUGAAACUAGGCAGGCUAGAGUCUUGUAGAGGGGGGUAGGAAUUUCAGGUGUAGCGGUGAAAUGCGUAGAGAUCUGAAGGAAUACCAGUGGCGAAGGCGGCCCCCUCGGACAAAGACUGACGAUCAGAUGCGAAAGCGUGGGGAGCAAACAGGAUUAGAUACCCUGGUAG